Molecule: ribosomal RNA, 531 nt
Filed under: uncultured Leuconostoc sp.
Lineage: Bacteria; Bacillati; Bacillota; Bacilli; Lactobacillales; Lactobacillaceae
Description: bacterial SSU rRNA
Rfam family: Bacterial small subunit ribosomal RNA
Source: RNAcentral
UUUGAUCCUGGCUCAGGAUGAACGCUGGCGGCGUGCCUAAUACAUGCAAGUCGAACGCGCAGCGAGAGGUGCUUGCACCUUUCAAGCGAGUGGCGAACGGGUGAGUAACACGUGGAUAACCUGCCUCAAGGCUGGGGAUAACAUUUGGAAACAGAUGCUAAUACCGAAUAAAACUUAGUAUCGCAUGAUAUCAAGUUAAAAGGCGCUACGGCGUCACCUAGAGAUGGAUCCGCGGUGCAUUAGUUAGUUGGUGGGGUAAAGGCUUACCAAGGCGAUGAUGCAUAGCCGAGUUGAGAGACUGAUCGGCCACAUUGGGACUGAGACACGGCCCAAACUCCUACGGGAGGCUGCAGUAGGGAAUCUUCCACAAUGGGCGCAAGCCUGAUGGAGCAACGCCGCGUGUGUGAUGAAGGCUUUCGGGUCGUAAAGCACUGUUGUAUGGGAAGAGAUGCUAAAAUAGGGAAUGAUUUUAGUUUGACGGUACCAUACCAGAAAGGGACGGCUAAAUACGUGCCAGCAGCCGCGGUAAUA